This 254-nucleotide ribosomal RNA is filed under the name uncultured bacterium. RNAcentral describes it as "partial 16S ribosomal RNA". It matches the Rfam family "Bacterial small subunit ribosomal RNA", at positions 524 to 776 of the family's 1533-position model. The record is from RNAcentral.
UACGGGGGGAGCAAGCGUUGCUCGGAUUUACUGGGCGUAAAGGGCGCGUAGGCGGUCAGCACAAGUCAGUUGUGAAAUCUCCGGGCUUAACUCGGAAAGGUCAACUGAUACUGUGCGACUAGAGUGCGGAAGGGGCAACUGGAAUUCUCGGUGUAGCGGUGAAAUGCGUAGAUAUCGAGAGGAACACCUGCGGCGAAGGCGGGUUGCUGGGCCGACACUGACGCUGAUGCGCGAAAGCCAGGGGAGCGAACGGG